Molecule: ribosomal RNA, 460 nt
Filed under: uncultured bacterium
Lineage: Bacteria
Description: partial 16S ribosomal RNA
Rfam family: Bacterial small subunit ribosomal RNA
Source: RNAcentral
CCUACGGGAGGCAGCAGUGAGGAAUAUUGGUCAAUGGCCGGAAGGCUGAACCAGCCAUGCCGCGUGAAGGUCAGUGCCCUAUGGGCGUUAAACUUCUUUUGUGCGGGAGCAAUAAUGGUCACGUGUGGCCAGACGAGAGUACCGUACGAAUAAGCAUCAGCUAACUCCGUGCCAGCAGCCGCGGUAAUACGGGGGAUGCAAGCGUUAUCCGGAUUUAUUGGGUUUAAAGGGUGCGUAGGCUGUGAGGUAAGUCAGCGGUGAAAUGCCCCCGCUCAACGGGGUGAAGUGCCAUUGAUACUGCCUGGCUGGAAUGCGGAUGCGGUGGGAGGAAUGUGUGGUGUAGCGGUGAAAUGCAUAGAUAUCACACAGAACACCGAUUGCGAAGGCAUCUCACGAAUCCGCGAUUGACGCUGAUGCACGAAAGCGUGGGUAUCAAACAGGAUUAGAUACCCGGGUAGUC